CUAAAGAGCUGAAAUCUCAAAGAGCUGAUAAUCACUAAGAGCUGAUAUCACUUGAGCUUGCUUACGUUGCCUGUGGUUAGCAGCUGCUUGGGAACUCGGACGCUGUGCUGAGCCCCACUGAGUUAUCCUGGCCAAGGCAGCCCAGCGGGCACAGCCCGGCUGGAAGCCGCCCAACAGACCACAAAGCAUGGAGCUGAGCUGUGACAGGCAAGAACCCACUUGAAGUGUCAGCUACUUUUUCUCAUCUGUUUCAUUUGAUGUGCUAUGACUUCGGUUCCGGUGCAAUUUCUCAAAGCAGCUCAGUGGUUUUACACUUGUGCACUUCCACAGAAGAGGGGUUUGCCCUUUUCUUCAAUUUCUUUGGCCAAGGCAGCAGCUGGGGCAGCACAAAGUGACGACUCUGGUGACAAGUCAAUUUGUUCUUCCAAGUGCUUUUAAGUGUAAGAAUAGCAACUGACACACAACCUGAGAAGCCAUUGAGAGAAAUUAGCUCCCUUCUAUUAGGCCAGUAUUGUAGUGAUGGGACCCAUUGAAAACCUUGGAAUUCCACAUUAGCUGAUCUUUUCUUUUACCAUAAUUGUCACAAACAGAAUUUUUUCAUUGAUUUUGGACUUUUCCUCUGAAACAAAGGAGUCCUCAAGGUGCUUAGCAAUUCUGAGACAAAAGCAUUUACACAUUAAAACUUAAAGAGAUUUUCCCAAGAUCCAGUCUAAAACAGUUUAUAAAGGUCAUAAAAAUUAACUUAUCUUGCUAACUGAAGUUUUUUUAAUGAACUACAUCUUACAAAGGAAUCACAGCCGGAAACCUUUAGGCCAGUAUUAUACUAUAUUUUCCUCCCAUUAGCAAGGACAGCAAAUAUCUACACUUGGAUUUUGCCACAGCAACUGGCUCUGAUUCAUCAGUCUUCGUGACUGAAUAUAAAAGCACAGAACUAGUUGGCUUCCACAACCCAGCCAUGAAAGCAGGAAUUAUACUGCUACCAGAAAACCUGAAUUCUAGCACCCAGAUAUUCAAGCAUCUGGAGGAGAUGCACAUGACAGAGAAGCUGAACCUACAACCAGAUGAUUCCAGAGGUACAAUUUGUAUGUUCCACAAAGGCAACAGGCAUGACUGCUGUCUGAAGCAUGCUUAAUGGAGGAAAACGUUUUGAUUUUAAACAGCACGAGUGAAAAAAUCCAACACAAUUUUGGUAAAUUGCUACUGGAGCUAUUUUCUCCCAUAGUAUUAUUUCUUCAGUUCCACAUAGAAAGUUUGUACCCUGUGAUCCAGACCUGUGUUUCUGUUCCCUGCUGAAAAUUCUGUUCCCUGCUAUGAUUUGUUCUUUCUGCCAGGUUACCAAGAGGGUAAAUGUGUUGGAGCCAAGAAUCAGCCCCAACAGGUCCUGCUGACAACUCAUUCCCUACUCAGGAAUGAGCAGCUGCUCAGAAACAGCUUCUGAGAUUUAAUCUUUCCAGUGUUUCAGGCAAUACCAAGUGCUGCCCUCACUUUUCACCAUCCUGGUUUCUUCAUAGUCUCAACAUAAUUUAAGUACAUUUCAAGAUUAUUAUGAAGGAAGUCCUCAGUCACUUCUUGAGCAGUUAUUGAAAAAACAAAUGAGCAGAUCUUUUAGACCCCCUAGCCCACCAUUUCAGAAGCAUCCACCUCAAUGCUGUUAUUUGACAACCUUUCCACUGCUGGAAUGGAAAGCCAGAUCAACAUCACAUGAUGACCAUCUGACCUUUAAUGCAAAUACAGAAUAGAGACUUGAUAAGAUUUCUUAUCUCGAGUUUUAUUUCUCUCCAGCAACAGACUAAUACU
Passer domesticus (house sparrow) is the source of this 1797-nucleotide long non-coding RNA. RefSeq lists it as uncharacterized. The record is from RefSeq and is a predicted model, not a curated record. Lineage: Eukaryota; Metazoa; Chordata; Aves; Passeriformes; Passeridae. The transcript is spliced from 3 exons.